RNAcentral lists this ribosomal RNA (88 nucleotides) under Paenibacillus odorifer. Lineage: Bacteria; Bacillati; Bacillota; Bacilli; Caryophanales; Paenibacillaceae. The record is from RNAcentral. RNAcentral also lists the same sequence under 2 other names.
CGUACCCAUCCCGAACACGACCGUUAAGCCCUCCAGCGCCGAUGGUACUUGGACCGAAGGGUCCUGGGAGAGUAGGACGUUGCCAAGC